GGGCGGCAAAUAUGGCAAUCCACCAGAUUUGGGGACUGUUUUCUUUGAGACUCGUAAGAAAGAUAACAAGCUUGUUGAACCUGAAGCAAUUGAAAAACAUGCUCAAAUUGAAAAAAUGGUUCAAUCGGAGCCAUCUCUAUCUAGCAUAGAGAUUGUCAAAAAAUGUGGUGGACCUCAAACUCGUAGCCAUGUAUUUGGCUUUGGGGUGGAGUAAAGGCAAAAGACUUGAAAGGUGGCACUUCUUCAAAUGAUGAAUUGCUGUCUGCGCUAGUCCUUGAAUGAGAAAAAUAAAUCCUUGAAUGAUCUCUUGUCUACGUUAGAAGAUAAUAUGAAAGAAAUUAAGAAAAUAAAAGAAUUCUUUGCUGCUCAACAAUCAUAUGUCCCGCCUACGACAUCGCCCGUUUCAACUGGAUGACCACUGCCUUUGUCUGCUGACCAAGUUUCGAAGAUUGAAUUUAACAAGUCAAGAUGCAAGUUUAGAAUAUGCACAAGCCCAUUAUUUUGCUAGGAAUGUUAUGCACUCGCUAUCGUAGUCUAGCUCGAGUGUUAGUAAAGUUGUUUUGUUAAGGUGUCGAGCAAAUAUUGAAACUAACAUCAUGGGAUGUUAACAAUUUUAUUGUAAUUAACAACUCUAUCUU
Lycium barbarum (goji berry) is the source of this 638-nucleotide long non-coding RNA. RefSeq lists it as uncharacterized. The transcript is spliced from 3 exons. Lineage: Eukaryota; Viridiplantae; Streptophyta; Magnoliopsida; Solanales; Solanaceae. The record is from RefSeq and is a predicted model, not a curated record.